Molecule: long non-coding RNA, 358 nt
Organism: Hydra vulgaris (swiftwater hydra)
Lineage: Eukaryota; Metazoa; Cnidaria; Hydrozoa; Anthoathecata; Hydridae
Source: RefSeq, a predicted model, not a curated record
AAAUAGGUUGCUAUCUCUCAAAAUAUUGAAGUAAAUUAGACAUGGAUGCAGUUACCCGAUGUUUAAAAAUGAAAUAGCAUGAUGCACGAAGAUAUAUUGCAGACUGUUUGAAGUUUGCACCAUAUCGAUUGGAUGGUGAAGUUUGCACCAUAUCGAUUGGAUGGUGAAGUUUGCAGCAUUUCAAUUGGAUGUUGCAAAACGUGCAUCAAAUUAAAAUGAGAGUCUGAUGACAGAAGACGAUAAAGAUGCAGAUGAAUUUAAUACCCAUAAUGAAGAUAGUGAUAACAUGAUUUUAUCAACACCGUUUUAAAAUUAAUUUAAUUUUGUAUAAUUUUUUGUUUUAAAAAUUUUUAAAUUA